AUGGAGGUGGACGGGACACCGGACCUGACGGAUUUCAUGAACGACUGGUUCUUCGGGACCGUCGGCGUGAAGCACAACGCCGUCGCCGCCGGCUCCCCCGCGUACGACCUCACGGGCGAGAGCAGCAGCAGCAGCAAGAAGAAGCAGUCGUCGGAGAAGAAGCCGCAGAGGGCGGAAAGCGAAGGCGGCCGUAGUGGCGGCGGCAGCAGGGCCAGCAACGCGAGCAAGCAGACGCAGGAGUGGCUGGAGGAGGCGAAGAGGAUGAUGGUCGGGUCCGGGUCGCCGGGGAGGAUGGGCUCGCCGUCUAGGCAGGUGCCCAAGUUCGCCGGCGGCAACGGCACGGAGCCCUCGCCGGCGCUCGACCGGCGGGACCCCAUGUCACGUUCCGCGAGAAGGCACCGGCAGCCGGGCGGCAUCGGCGACGAGAUCCUGCAGCGGGCGUCCAUCAUCUCCUCGCCUCCGCGCUCCGACACCUCCACCCCGUCGGCGCCGCCGUCCCCUUCCCCGUCCCUGCCGCCGAACCCGCACUCCUCCCGCCGCAAGUCCCGCUUCCACGGCCCCUCCGGCCCGGACCCCUCCGCCUCGCUCCGCCGCACCACCUCCUCGGCGUCCAACUCUCCACCCACCGCCUCCGCGCCCCCGCGCCCCCUGCACCACCGCCGUCACGCGUCCGCCUCUGGCUCCCCCGCCGCCGACGGCUUCGACGACGGCGUCGCCCGCCUCAACGCCUUCCUCCGCCGCCAGCGCGCCGCCCUCGCCGACCUGUCCUCCGGGGACCGCUCCUCCCGCUCGAGGUCCACGAAGCUCGUGCUCUCCGACGCCUCGAAAAGUGUGAGCUCGAUCGUGGCGGCGAUAUGCUACGCGUGGAUGCAGUCGAGCAAGGGGGACGGCCAGGCGGCGGCGGUGCCGGUGGUGAACAUGCGCCGGAGCAGGAUGACGGGGUGCAGGCAGGCGGCCUGGCUCCUCUACCACGUCGGGGUGGACGCCUCGGCCCUGCUCUUCGCCGACGAGGUUGAUAUGGAGGGAUUAAUAAUGGAUCAGCGGGCCAGCUUGCUGGUGGUGGGCCAAGAUGUUUUGAGAUCAAACGGUGAGGUGGGCUCAGUUUGCACACUCCUCGCCAAUGACCAUUCUGAAGAAGCUUAUGCCCUACUUCAGAGCCUGGACAUAAAGAAACUUCUGCUUGCAGGUAUCCUGUUAGAUACAAACAACCUUUCCAAGAUGUGCUCAGAGAAAGAUACAGAGGCAGUGCGAUCGCUCUUGAUCGGUACCUCUGAGCAUAAACGGCAUGAAUUGUUUCAACAAUUGAUGCUUGAUCACAAUGAGCAUUCUUUCGUCGAGUUCUUGAAGAACACCUACAGAAAGUCAUCCACAGAUGGUGCUGGGGACAGUCCUCCAGAGCAAAAGAAUUCAGUUUCAGGGGCAUCCCAAGAUGCUAAAAAGUCCAAUUCAGCUAACCAGAAACCAGCGCGCGGAAAGCCUUCAGAAGAAGCUCCUCAGGGGAAAAACAAAUUUUCCUUGGCCAAGUUUUUUGGCUUUGGUCGAAAAUAA
Molecule: ribosomal RNA, 1548 nt
Filed under: Triticum aestivum (bread wheat)
Lineage: Eukaryota; Viridiplantae; Streptophyta; Magnoliopsida; Poales; Poaceae
Description: partial small subunit ribosomal RNA
Source: RNAcentral